GCAUAUCAAUAAGCGGAGGAAAAGAAACCAACAGGGAUUGCCCUAGUAACGGCGAGUGAAGCGGCAACAGCUCAAAUUUGAAAUCUGGCGUCUUCGGCGUCCGAGUUGUAAUUUGCAGAGGGCGCUUUGGCAUUGGCAGCGGUCCAAGUUCCUUGGAACAGGACGUCACAGAGGGUGAGAAUCCCGUACGUGGUCGCUAGCCUUUACCGUGUAAAGCCCCUUCGACGAGUCGAGUUGUUUGGGAAUGCAGCUCUAAAUGGGAGGUAAAUUUCUUCUAAAGCUAAAUACUGGCCAGAGACCGAUAGCGCACAAGUAGAGUGAUCGAAAGAUGAAAAGCACUUUGGAAAGAGAGUUAAAAAGCACGUGAAAUUGUUGAAAGGGAAGCGCUUGCAGCCAGACUUGCCUGUAGUUGCUCAUCCGGGUUUUUACCCGGUGCACUCUUCUACGGGCAGGCCAGCAUCAGUUUGGGCGGUUGGAUAAAGGUCUCUGUCAUGUACCUCUCUUCGGGGAGAACUUAUAGGGGAGACGACAUGCAACCAGCCUGGACUGAGGUCCGCGCAUCUGCU
RNAcentral lists this ribosomal RNA (566 nucleotides) under Didymella aurea. Its description in RNAcentral is "eukaryotic LSU rRNA". It matches the Rfam family "Eukaryotic large subunit ribosomal RNA", at positions 38 to 607 of the family's 3401-position model. The record is from RNAcentral. Lineage: Eukaryota; Fungi; Ascomycota; Dothideomycetes; Pleosporales; Didymellaceae.